This 30-nucleotide non-coding RNA is filed under the name Mus musculus (house mouse). The record is from RNAcentral. Lineage: Eukaryota; Metazoa; Chordata; Mammalia; Rodentia; Muridae.
UAAACCUUGCAACUAGAGGACCCUGAUGCA